This 619-nucleotide ribosomal RNA is filed under the name uncultured bacterium. RNAcentral's name for it is "bacterial SSU rRNA". It matches the Rfam family "Bacterial small subunit ribosomal RNA", at positions 202 to 842 of the family's 1533-position model. The record is from RNAcentral.
GAAAGCCCCGACGGCGCGGGAUGGGGUCGCGGCCCAUUAGGUAGUAGGCGGGGUAGAGGCCCACCUAGCCGACGAUGGGUAGCCGGACUGAGAGGUCGAUCGGCCACAUUGGGACUGAGAUACGGCCCAGACUCCUACGGGAGGCAGCAGUGGGGAAUUUUGCGCAAUGGGGGGAACCCUGACGCAGCAACGCCGCGUGCGGGACGAAGGCCCUCGGGUCGUAAACCGCUUUCAGCAGGGAAGACCUUACGACGGUACCUGCAGAAGAAGCUCCGGCUAACUACGUGCCAGCAGCCGCGGUAAUACGUAGGGGGCGAGCGUUAUCCGGAUUCAUUGGGCGUAAAGCGCGCGUAGGCGGCCGCCUAAGCGGAACCUCUAACCCCGGGGCUCAACCUCGGGCCGGGUUCCGGACUGGGCGGCUCGAGUGCGGUAGAGGAGAGCGGAAUUCCCGGUGUAGCGGUGGAAUGCGCAGAUAUCGGGAAGAACACCGAUGGCGAAGGCAGCUCUCUGGGCCGUCACUGACGCUGAGGCGCGAAAGCUGGGGGAGCGAACAGGAUUAGAUACCCUGGUAGUCCCAGCCGUAAACGAUGGGCGCUAGGUGUGGGGGGAUCCCCCCUCC